This 440-nucleotide ribosomal RNA is filed under the name uncultured bacterium. Its description in RNAcentral is "partial 16S ribosomal RNA". It matches the Rfam family "Bacterial small subunit ribosomal RNA", at positions 338 to 795 of the family's 1533-position model. The record is from RNAcentral.
CCUACGGGAGGCAGCAGUGGGGAAUAUUGCACAAUGGGGGAAACCCUGAUGCAGCGACGCCGCGUGAGUGAAGAAGUUUUUCGGUAUGUAAAGCUCUAUCAGCAGGGAAGAAAAUGACGGUAUCUGAUUAACAAUCCAUGGCCAAUGACGUGCCAGCAGCCGCGGUAAUACGGAGGGGGCACGCGUUAUCCGGAUUUACUGGGUGUAAAGGGAGCGUAGACGGCAGGACAAGUCUGGGGUGAAAUGCCGGGGCUUAACCCCGGAACUGCUUUGGAAACUGUGCAGCUGGAGUGCAGGAGAGGUAAGUGGAAUUCCUGGUGUAGCGGUGAAAUGCGUAGAUAUUGGGAGGAACACCAGUGGCGAAGGCGGCUUACUGGACUGUAACUGACGUUGAGGCUCGAAAGCGUGGGGAGCAAACAGGAUUAGAUACCCUAGUAGUC